Molecule: ribosomal RNA, 502 nt
Filed under: uncultured bacterium
Lineage: Bacteria
Description: partial 16S ribosomal RNA
Rfam family: Bacterial small subunit ribosomal RNA
Source: RNAcentral
GAUGAAUGCUGGCGGCGUGCCUAACACAUGCAAGUCGAGCGGCAGCGAGUUUUACACUGAAUUCUGGAAGCUUCUGAGUAGUACAGAAGAUUUAUUCAAGAGUUUUGUGUAAAAUGUCGGCGAGCGGCGGACGGCUGAGUAACGCGUAGGAAUUUGCCCCAAAGUGAGGAAUAACUGCCCGAAAGGGUAGCUAAUGCCGCAUAUGGUCUUCGGAUUAAAGCCUUCGGGCGCUUUGGGAGAAGCCUGCGUUGGAUUAGGUAGUUGGUAGGGUAAUGGCCUACCAAGCCGACGAUCCAUAGCUGGUCGGAGAGGAUGAUCAGCCAGACUGGAACUGAGACACGGUCCAGACUCCUACGGGGGGCAGCAGUGAGGAAUCUUCCACAAUGGGCGAAAGCCUGAUGGAGCAACGCCGCGUGAAGGAUGAAGGCCUUCGGGUUGUAAACUUCUUUUAUGAGUGAAGAAUAUGACGGUAACUCAUGAAUAAGCACCGGCUAACUACGUG